Molecule: ribosomal RNA, 448 nt
Filed under: uncultured bacterium
Lineage: Bacteria
Description: bacterial SSU rRNA
Rfam family: Bacterial small subunit ribosomal RNA
Source: RNAcentral
GACCAGACUCCUACGGGAGGCAGCAGUGGGGGAUAUUGCACAAUGGGGGAAACCCUGAUGCAGCGACGCCGCGUGUGGGAAGACGGUCCUCUGGAUUGUAAACCACUGUCCCCAGGGACGAAGAUGACGGUACCUGGGGAGGAAGCUCCGGCUAACUACGUGCCAGCAGCCGCGGUAAUACGUAGGGAGCAAGCGUUAUCCGGAUUUAUUGGGUGUAAAGGGUGCGUAGACGGGAAUGCAAGUUAGUUGUGAAAUCCCUCGGCUUAACUGAGGAACUGCAACUAAAACUACAUUUCUUGAGUGCUGGAGAGGAAAGUGGAAUUCCUAGCGUAGCGGUGAAAUGCGUAGAUAUUAGGAGGAACACCAGUGGCGAAGGCGACUUUCUGGACAGUAACUGACGUUGAGGCACGAAAGUGUGGGGAGCAAACAGGAUUAGAUACCCCGGUAC